UCGGUAGAUGUGAGCCAAGGAUGACUUGCCGGUUGUGUAUCGGUAAAGUCUUCCUUGGCUCUUAUUUACUGUUU
This 74-nucleotide microRNA precursor is filed under the name Vigna radiata var. radiata (mung bean). Lineage: Eukaryota; Viridiplantae; Streptophyta; Magnoliopsida; Fabales; Fabaceae. The record is from RNAcentral.